CAGCAGCCGCGGGAAUACGUAGGUGGCAAGCGUUGUCCGGAAUUAUUGGGCGUAAAGGGCUCGCAGGCGGUCUCUUAAGUCUGAUGUGAAAGCCCCCGGCUCAACCGGGGAGGGUCAUUGGAAACUGGGAAACUUGAGUGCAGAAGAGGAGAGUGGAAUUCCACGUGUAGCGGUGAAAUGCGUAGAGAUGUGGAGGAACACCAGUGGCGAAGGCGACUCUCUGGUCUGUAACUGACGCUGAGGAGCGAAAGCGUGGGGAGCGAACAGGAUUAGAUACCCGAGUAGUCCCUGUCUCUUAUAC
This 301-nucleotide ribosomal RNA is filed under the name uncultured bacterium. Its description in RNAcentral is "partial 16S ribosomal RNA". It matches the Rfam family "Bacterial small subunit ribosomal RNA", at positions 509 to 807 of the family's 1533-position model. The record is from RNAcentral.